This 253-nucleotide ribosomal RNA is filed under the name uncultured bacterium. Its description in RNAcentral is "partial 16S ribosomal RNA". It matches the Rfam family "Bacterial small subunit ribosomal RNA", at positions 524 to 776 of the family's 1533-position model. The record is from RNAcentral.
UACGUAGGGGGCAAGCGUUGUCCGGAAUUAUUGGGCGUAAAGCGCGCGCAGGCGGCUUUCUAAGUUAGGUGUGAAAGCCCACGGCUCAACCGUGGAGGGCCACCUAAAACUGGGAGACUUGAGUGCAGGAGAGGAGAGCGGAAGUCCACGUGUAGCGGUGAAAUGCGUAGAGAUGUGGAGGAACACCCGUGGCGAAGGCGGCUCUCUGGACUGUAACUGACGCUGAGGCGCGAAAGCGUGGGGAGCAAACAGG